AGAGUUUGAUCCUGGCUCAGGAUGAACGCUAGCGGCAGGCUUAACACAUGCAAGUCGAGGGGCAGCGGGGAGGAAGCUUGCUUUCUCCGCCGGCGACCGGCGCACGGGUGAGUAACACGUAUGCAACCUGCCCCUGUCAGGGGGACAACCCGCCGAAAGGCGGGCUAAACCCGCGUACAUGCCACCGGGGCAUCCCGGAGGCAGGAAAGGCUUCGGCCGGACAGGGAUGGGCAUGCGGCGCAUUAGGCAGUAGGCGGGGUAACGGCCCACCUAACCGACGAUGCGUAGGGGUUCUGAGAGGAAGGUCCCCCACACUGGUACUGAGACACGGACCAGACUCCUACGGGAGGCAGCAGUGAGGAAUAUUGGUCAAUGGUCGGGAGACUGAACCAGCCAAGCCGCGUGAGGGAGGAAGGUACAGAGUAUUGUAAACCUCUUUUGUCAGGGAACAAAGGCGGGGACGUGUCCCCGGAUGAGUGUACCUGAAGAAAAAGCAUCGGCUAACUCCGUGCCAGCAGCCGCGGUAAUACGGAGGAUGCGAGCGUUAUCCGGAUUUAUUGGGUUUAAAGGGUGCGCAGGCGGUCUGUUAAGUCAGCGGUCAAAGCCCGGGGCUCAACCCCGGCCCGCCGUUGAAACUGGCAGUCUCGAGUUGGAGAGAAGUAUGCGGAAUGCGCGGUGUAGCGGUGAAAUGCAUAGAUAUCGCGCAGAACUCCGAUUGCGAAGGCAGCAUGCCGGCUCCACACUGACGCUGAGGCACGAAAGCGUGGGUAUCGAACAGGAUUAGAUACCCUGGUAGUCCACGCAGUAAACGACGAAUGCUGGCUGUCCCGGGGGAUUGACCCCUGGGUGGCGAAGCGAAAGCGAUAAGCAUUCCACCUGGGGAGUACGCCGGCAACGGUGAAACUCAAAGGAAUUGACGGGGGCCCGCACAAGCGGAGGAACAUGUGGUUUAAUUCGAUGAUACGCGAGGAACCUUACCCGGGCUCAAACGGGGAGUGACUCAGGCAGAGACGCCUGUUUCCCACGGGACACUCCCCGAGGUGCUGCAUGGUUGUCGUCAGCUCGUGCCGUGAGGUGUCGGCUUAAGUGCCAUAACGAGCGCAACCCCCGCGUGCAGUUGCUAACAGAUAACGCUGAGGACUCUGCACGGACUGCCGGCGCAAGCCGCGAGGAAGGCGGGGAUGACGUCAAAUCAGCACGGCCCUUACGUCCGGGGCGACACACGUGUUACAAUGGGUGGUACAGCGGGAAGCCAGGCGGCGACGCCGAGCGGAACCCGAAAUCCACUCUCAGUUCGGAUCGGAGUCUGCAACCCGACUCCGUGAAGCUGGAUUCGCUAGUAAUCGCGCAUCAGCCAUGGCGCGGUGAAUACGUUCCCGGGCCUUGUACUCACCGCCCGUCA
This 1402-nucleotide ribosomal RNA is filed under the name uncultured bacterium. RNAcentral describes it as "16S ribosomal RNA". It matches the Rfam family "Bacterial small subunit ribosomal RNA". The record is from RNAcentral.